AUUGAACGCUGGCGGCAGGCCUAACGCAUGCCAGUCGAGCGGAUGAAGGGAGCUUGCUCCUGGAUUCAGCGGCGGACGGGUGAGUAAUGCCUAGGAAUCUGCCUGGUAGUGGGGGAUAACGUCCGGAAACGGGCGCUAAUACCGCAUACGUCCUGAGGGAGAAAGUGGGGGAUCUUCGGACCUCACGCUAUCAGAUGAGCCUAGGUCGGAUUAGCUAGUUGGUGGGGUAAAGGCCUACCAAGGCGACGAUCCGUAACUGGUCUGAGAGGAUGAUCAGUCACACUGGAACUGAGACACGGUCCAGACUCCUACGGGAGGCAGCAGUGGGGAAUAUUGGACAAUGGGCGAAAGCCUGAUCCAGCCAUGCCGCGUGUGUGAAGAAGGUCUUCGGAUUGUAAAGCACUUUAAGUUGAGAGGAAGGGCAGUAAGUUAAUACCUUGCUGUUUUGACGUUACCAACAGAAUAAGCACCGGCUAACUUCGUG
RNAcentral lists this ribosomal RNA (484 nucleotides) under uncultured bacterium. RNAcentral's name for it is "partial 16S ribosomal RNA". It matches the Rfam family "Bacterial small subunit ribosomal RNA", at positions 30 to 507 of the family's 1533-position model. The record is from RNAcentral.